RNAcentral lists this ribosomal RNA (647 nucleotides) under uncultured bacterium. RNAcentral describes it as "bacterial SSU rRNA". It matches the Rfam family "Bacterial small subunit ribosomal RNA", at positions 140 to 805 of the family's 1533-position model. The record is from RNAcentral.
GGGACAACAGUGGGAUACGACUGCUAAUACCGCAUAAGCGCACAGCUUCGCAUGAAGCAGUGUGAAAAACUCCGGUGGUACAAGAUGGACCCGCGUCUGAUUAGCUGGUUGGUGAGGUAACGGCCCACCAAGGCGACGAUCAGUAGCCGGCCUGAGAGGGUGAACGGCCACAUUGGGACUGAGACACGGCCCAAACUCCUACGGGAGGCAGCAGUGGGGAAUAUUGCACAAUGGGGGAAACCCUGAUGCAGCAACGCCGCGUGAGUGAAGAAGUAUUUCGGUAUGUAAAGCUCUAUCAGCAGGAAAGAAAAUGACGGUACCUGACUAAGAAGCCCCGGCUAACUACGUGCCAGCAGCCGCGGUAAUACGUAGGGGGCAAGCGUUAUCCGGAUUUACUGGGUGUAAAGGGAGCGUAGACGGUUUUGCAAGUCUGAAGUGAAAGCCCGGGGCUUAACCCCGGGACUGCUUUGGAAACUGUAGGACUAGAGUGCAGGAGAGGUAAGUGGAAUUCCUAGUGUAGCGGUGAAAUGCGUAGAUAUUAGGAGGAACACCAGUGGCGAAGGCGGCUUACUGGACUGUAACUGACGUUGAGGCUCGAAAGCGUGGGGAGCAAACAGGAUUAGAUACCCUGGUAGUCCACGCCGUAA